This 55-nucleotide transfer RNA is filed under the name Pseudoniphargus morenoi. RNAcentral's name for it is "tRNA-Gln". Lineage: Eukaryota; Metazoa; Arthropoda; Malacostraca; Amphipoda; Allocrangonyctidae. The record is from RNAcentral.
UUUAUCUUGGUGUAAGAAGCACGUAAAAUUUUGAUAUUUAAGGUAGUUAUUAGAU